GAGUUUGAUCAUGGCUCAGGAUGAACGCUGGCGGCGUGCUUAACACAUGCAAGUCGAACGGGGAUGCUUAUGGAAGGAGUGCUUGCACUUUGGAAAUGAGUAUCUUAGUGGCGGACGGGUGAGUAACGCGUGGGUAACCUGCCCCAUACCGGGGGAUACCACCUGGAAACAGGUGCUAAUACCGCAUAAGCGCACGGGAGCGCAUGCUCCUGUGUGAAAAACUCCGGUGGUAUGGGAUGGACCCGCGUCUGAUUAGCCAGUUGGCAGGGUAACGGCCUACCAAAGCGACGAUCAGUAGCCGGCCUGAGAGGGUGGACGGCCACAUUGGGACUGAGACACGGCCCAAACUCCUACGGGAGGCAGCAGUGGGGAAUAUUGCACAAUGGGGGAAACCCUGAUGCAGCGACGCCGCGUGAGUGAAGAAGUAUUUCGGUAUGUAAAGCUCUAUCAGCAGGAACGAGACAAGACGGUACCUGACUAAGAAGCCCCGGCUAACUACGUGCCAGCAGCCGCGGUAAUACGUAGGGGGCAAGCGUUAUCCGGAAUCACUGGGUGUAAAGGGAGCGUAGACGGCUGAGCAAGCCUGAAGUGAAAGGCGGGGGCCCAACCCCCGGACUGCUUUGGGAACUGUACGGCUGGAGUGCAGGAGAGGUAAGUGGAAUUCCUAGUGUAGCGGUGAAAUGCGUAGAUAUUAGGAGGAACACCAGUGGCGAAGGCGGCUUACUGGACUGUAACUGACGUUGAGGCUCGAAAGCGUGGGGAGCAAACAGGAUUAGAUACCCUGGUAGUCCACGCCGUAAACGAUGAUUACUAGGUGUCGGGGGGCAGAGGCCCUUCGGUGCCGCAGCAAACGCAAUAAGUAAUCCACCUGGGGAGUACGUCCGCAAGGAUGAAACUCAAAGGAAUUGACGG
Molecule: ribosomal RNA, 912 nt
Filed under: uncultured bacterium
Lineage: Bacteria
Description: bacterial SSU rRNA
Rfam family: Bacterial small subunit ribosomal RNA
Source: RNAcentral